RNAcentral lists this long non-coding RNA (1267 nucleotides) under Pogona vitticeps (central bearded dragon). RNAcentral's name for it is "lncRNA (ENSPVIG00000005849.1)". The record is from RNAcentral. Lineage: Eukaryota; Metazoa; Chordata; Lepidosauria; Squamata; Agamidae.
CCUAAUAUUUCUGUUUAAAAGACUUCUCCCACAGGGAGUGUGGACUGCUCAGCCAUCUCCCAGCCUGUAAAGGAAGGCUGUUCUAUCUGGAGUGAGGUGCUUGCAGACUUGUAACUGCAUUGACUGGAAGGUGUUGAUGUGGAGCGGAAAGUUGGGUUGCUCUCCUGCACUGUUCGAUGUCCACAUGCUUGUUUCAGCAUGCCUUGGCCAGCAUCCGCUUCGGAGCACAAAGAAUUCUACAAGCAUUUCCCACGGAAGACCAUGAUCGCUCGCACAACCCGUGGCAUGACUGAUCUUGCAACCGGUGGGAGACCGGGCACAUAAAGGGGAGCCUGCCGGACCAAUGGAAACACUGGUGUAGUUGUAUAAAUGGAGAACUGACCAUUACAAAAAAAGGCCUACCAGCAUGGAAAACUUCACAUGCCAAGGGUGGGCUCUGUGCCAAAGGAUGACUGCUCAACAGAGGUCUCCGGAGCGCCGAUGGAGAGCCACUUCUCUCGCUCGUGGGUGUGUCGAAAAUGGCAUUCUUGGGACGCGUCCAAGAAAUGACUUGAAGGGCUCAGAGGAAAAUCAUAAGAAGCCCGCACGGAGACUAGAAAGAGGCCAGCGUGUGUGGCUUUGCUUUUCAAACAACCGCUUUGAAGGCAGAUUUUGUUUUCCAUGUGGGAAAAUAAAGCACUGCAUAAACAGCAUCCAAUAGCAGGAGUGGGCAAAGUCUUAUCUUGGGACUGUAAGUGUUCCCCCCACCCACCCCGGCUGUUUCUGGGAGUUGCAGCCCUCUCUUUUCAUGACAAGAAAUUGAGGAAAAUGCUGGAAAGUGCUGACUAACCAGGGACUGAUCAAAGGAGUUCUGACGAGAGUAUUUUGCCUAAGAACCAUCACACACAUCUAUAAAGGUACUGGAGUUUUCACAACCUCGCAUGCUGCUUUUAGUAGGCUUGAUGGGAGGGACCUUUCUGGGCUGGAGUGACUGUCAAUCUAUCCAAGAGUAACCAAUCAUUCAUUCCCCUGCCUCUAAAUUCAAAGAGAGAUCCACCUCUCUCUUUUUGAGCUUUUUGCCUCUCAGUAGUCUGUUGGAAGAAGUCUUAGGCUGCUGAGGCCUGCUGCUGCAAGCAGCCAUGUUUUGAGCCUGCUGUUACCUGUUCACUGGAAGUAAAUGAAACUUUUAAUUUUUUUUCUCUUACUAAUGUUUCAGGGUGAGUUACUGAGACUGUAAGUGCCAGUUAAUAAUAAUAAAAAGAGAUGGUCUACUCUGGGAGAGUGGAAC